CAGGCUUAACACAUGCAAGUCGAGGGGCAGCAUGGUCUUAGCUUGCUAAGGCCGAUGGCGACCGGCGCACGGGUGAGUAACACGUAUCCAACCUGCCGUCUACUCUUGGACAGCCUUCUGAAAGGAAGAUUAAUGCAAGAUGGCAUCAUGAGUCCGCAUGUUCACAUGAUUAAAGGUAUUCCGGUAGACGAUGGGGAUGCGUUCCAUUAGAUAGUAGGCGGGGUAACGGCCCACCUAGUCUUCGAUGGAUAGGGGUUCUGAGAGGAAGGUCCCCCACAUUGGAACUGAGACACGGUCCAAACUCCUACGGGAGGCAGCAGUGAGGAAUAUUGGUCAAUGGGCGAGAGCCUGAACCAGCCAAGUAGCGUGAAGGAUGACUGCCCUAUGGGUUGUAAACUUCUUUUAUAAAGGAAUAAAGUCGGGUAUGGAUACCCGUUUGCAUGUACUUUAUGAAUAAGGAUCGGCUAACUCCGUGCCAGCAGCCGCGGUAAUACGGAGGAUCCGAGCGUUAUCCGGAUUUAUUGGGUUUAAAGGGAGCGUAGAUGGAUAUUUAAGUCAGUUGUGAAAGUUUGCGGCUCAACCGUAAAAUUGCAGUUGAUACUGGAUAUCUUGAGUGCAGUUGAGGCAGGCGGAAUUCGUGGUGUAGCGGUGAAAUGCUUAGAUAUCACGAAGAACUCCGAUUGCGAAGGCAGCCUGCUAAGCUGCAACUGACAUUGAGGCUCGAAAGUGUGGGUAUCAAACAGGAUUAGAUACCCUGGUAGUCCACACGGUAAACGAUGAAUACUCGCUGUUUGCGAUAUACUGCAAGCGGCCAAGCGAAAGCGUUAAGUAUUCCACCUGGGGAGUACGCCGGCAACGGUGAAACUCAAAGGAAUUGACGGGGGCCCGCACAAGCGGAGGAACAUGUGGUUUAAUUCGAUGAUACGCGAGGAACCUUACCCGGGCUUAAAUUGCGGAUGAAUUACGGUGAAAGCCGUAAGCCGCAAGGCAUCUGUGAAGGUGCUGCAUGGUUGUCGUCAGCUCGUGCCGUGAGGUGUCGGCUUAAGUGCCAUAACGAGCGCAACCCUUGUUGUCAGUUACUAACAGGUUCCGCUGAGGACUCUGACAAGACUGCCAUCGUAAGAUGUGAGGAAGGUGGGGAUGACGUCAAAUCAGCACGGCCCUUACGUCCGGGGCUACACACGUGUUACAAUGGGGGGUACAGAGGGCCGCUACCACGCGAGUGGAUGCCAAUCCCCAAAACCUCUCUCAGUUCGGACUGGAGUCUGCAACCCGACUCCACGAAGCUGGAUUCGCUAGUAAUCGCGCAUCAGCCACGGCGCGGUGAAUACGUUCCCGGGCCUUGUACACACCGCCCGUCAAGCCAUGGGAGCCGGGGGUACCUGAAGUGCGUAACCGCGAGGAGCGCCCUAGGGUAAAACUGGUGACUGGGGCUAAGU
Molecule: ribosomal RNA, 1439 nt
Filed under: uncultured organism
Description: 16S ribosomal RNA
Rfam family: Bacterial small subunit ribosomal RNA
Source: RNAcentral